This 492-nucleotide ribosomal RNA is filed under the name uncultured bacterium. Its description in RNAcentral is "partial 16S ribosomal RNA". It matches the Rfam family "Bacterial small subunit ribosomal RNA", at positions 29 to 507 of the family's 1533-position model. The record is from RNAcentral.
AGUGAACGCUGGCGGUAGGCCUAACACAUGCAAGUCGAACGGCAGCACAGUAAGAGCUUGCUCUUACGGGUGGCGAGUGGCGGACGGGUGAGGAAUACAUCGGAAUCUACUUUUUCGCGGGGGAUAACGUAGGGAAACUUACGCUAAUACCGCAUACGACCUACGGGUGGAAGCAGGGGAUCUUCGGACCUUGCGCGAUUGAAUGAGCCGAUGUCGGAUUAGCUAGUUGGCGGGGUAAAGGCCCACCAAGGCGACGAUCCGUAGCUGGUCUGAGAGGAUGAUCAGCCACACUGGAACUGAGACACGGUCCAGACUCCUACGGGAGGCAGCAGUGGGGAAUAUUGGACAAUGGGCGCAAGCCUGAUCCAGCCAUACCGCGUGGGUGAAGAAGGCCUUCGGGUUGUAAAGCCCUUUUGUUGGGAAAGAAAAGCAGCAGGUUAAUACCCCGCUGUUCUGACGGUACCCAAAGAAUAAGCACCGGCUAACUUCGUG